GUGGAUAUUGGCGAUAAUUGAUCCAUUAUAGGAGUAGGGUAUGCAUCAAGAUAGGAUCUAUCAACCUUGAUAGAGAGGAGUAGUCCUAUGAGAUUUGAGAAGCUAAGUCUAUGAAUUUGUUGCCACAAUAGAGUAAAUGAUGGAAAAAAAAUUUAUGGACAUCACAUUUGGACUUGAGCUAAUCGAAUCUAUCAUAUAACAGAUGUUGAGGUUUGACGAUUUAUCUAUGACCUGCUAUCU
RNAcentral lists this long non-coding RNA (240 nucleotides) under Elaeis guineensis (African oil palm). RNAcentral describes it as "long non-coding RNA (EGUI_LNC053267)". The record is from RNAcentral. Lineage: Eukaryota; Viridiplantae; Streptophyta; Magnoliopsida; Arecales; Arecaceae.